GAGCCUCAGCCCUCCCUCCUCGCCUGGAAGCCUUGCCCCCGCCCCCUUGUGCUGGCUGGAGCUCAAGCCUCUUCCUUUGUCGCAGCUCCGCCCAGUUGAACACACCCGCUGGGGAAGGUGCCUCUGUUCCCUCCCCACGCACUCUGGGCCUGAGCUGACAGAGAUGGACCAUCGAAAAGCCAGGGUCCUCCCAGCUGGGCACUACUGCCCCUCGCUAGGAAUAUGGGCCUCGCAGGUCGGCAGCGUGAGGUCCUCUGUGCCACCUUCCAUCAGGAACCCAGCCAUGGUGAACGAAGCCAGAGGAAACAGCAGCCUCAACCCCUGCUUGGAGGGCAGUGCCAGCAGUGGCAGUGAGAGCUCCAAAGAUAGUUCGAGAUGUUCCACCCCGGGCCUGGACCCCGAGCGGCAUGAGAGACUCCGGGAGAAGAUGAGGCGGCGAUUGGAAUCUGGUGACAAGUGGUUCUCCCUGGAAUUCUUCCCUCCUCGAACUGCUGAGGGAGCUGUCAAUCUCAUCUCAAGGUUUGACCGGAUGGCAGCAGGCGGCCCCCUCUACAUAGACGUGACCUGGCACCCAGCAGGUGACCCUGGCUCAGACAAGGAGACCUCCUCCAUGAUGAUCGCCAGCACCGCCGUGAACUACUGUGGCCUGGAGACCAUCCUGCACAUGACCUGCUGCCGUCAGCGCCUGGAGGAGAUCACGGGCCACCUGCACAAAGCUAAGCAGCUGGGCCUGAAGAACAUCAUGGCGCUGCGGGGAGACCCAAUAGGUGACCAGUGGGAAGAGGAGGAGGGAGGCUUCAACUACGCAGUGGACCUGGUGAAGCACAUCCGAAGUGAGUUUGGUGACUACUUUGACAUCUGUGUGGCAGGUUACCCCAAAGGCCACCCCGAAGCAGGGAGCUUUGAGGCUGACCUGAAGCACUUGAAGGAGAAGGUGUCUGCGGGAGCCGAUUUCAUCAUCACGCAGCUUUUCUUUGAGGCUGACACAUUCUUCCGCUUUGUGAAGGCAUGCACCGACAUGGGCAUCACUUGCCCCAUCGUCCCCGGGAUCUUUCCCAUCCAGGGCUACCACUCCCUUCGGCAGCUUGUGAAGCUGUCCAAGCUGGAGGUGCCACAGGAGAUCAAGGACGUGAUUGAGCCAAUCAAAGACAACGAUGCUGCCAUCCGCAACUAUGGCAUCGAGCUGGCCGUGAGCCUGUGCCAGGAGCUUCUGGCCAGUGGCUUGGUGCCAGGCCUCCACUUCUACACCCUCAACCGCGAGAUGGCUACCACAGAGGUGCUGAAGCGCCUGGGGAUGUGGACUGAGGACCCCAGGUGAGGGCAGUGGCCCAAAGAUCCCCAGAGGAGGGUCCAAGAGCAGCCCCAGCUGCAGUGCUGGCUCCCCACGGUGGUACAGACGGAUGUCUGUGCCAUGGCUAGCUGGGCACAUCGAAGGCUCCAGUCUCAGAGGGCAUCAGAUGGAAGAACCCAGCCUCAGUGGUGCUCCCUUGCUUCCGGCUCCCUCUAGCCAAUCCCUUGUCUCAAUUCUCUGUCCCCAUCCUCACCCAGGCGUCCCCUACCCUGGGCUCUCAGCGCCCACCCCAAGCGCCGAGAGGAAGAUGUACGUCCCAUCUUCUGGGCCUCCAGACCAAAGAGUUACAUCUACCGUACCCAGGAGUGGGACGAGUUCCCUAACGGCCGCUGGGGCAAUUCCUCUUCCCCUGCCUUUGGGGAGCUGAAGGACUACUACCUCUUCUACCUGAAGAGCAAGUCCCCCAAGGAGGAGCUGCUGAAGAUGUGGGGGGAGGAGCUGACCAGUGAAGAAAGUGUCUUUGAAGUCUUUGUUCUUUACCUCUCGGGAGAACCAAACCGGAAUGGUCACAAAGUGACUUGCCUGCCCUGGAACGAUGAGCCCCUGGCGGCCGAGACCAGCCUGCUGAAGGAGGAGCUGCUGCGGGUGAACCGCCAGGGCAUCCUCACCAUCAACUCACAGCCCAACAUCAACGGGAAGCCGUCCUCUGACCCCAUCGUGGGCUGGGGCCCCAGCGGGGGCUAUGUCUUCCAGAAGGCCUACUUAGAGUUUUUCACUUCCCGCGAGACAGCGGAAGCGCUUCUGCAAGUGCUGAAGAAGUACGAGCUCCGGGUUAAUUACCACCUUGUCAAUGUGAAGGGUGAAAACAUCACCAAUGCCCCUGAACUGCAGCCGAAUGCUGUCACUUGGGGCAUCUUCCCUGGGCGAGAGAUCAUCCAGCCCACCGUAGUGGAUCCCGUCAGCUUCAUGUUCUGGAAGGCCCACCCAGAAUGCGAGAGAGACGGAGGCUCCAUGACCCUGCGUCCUGACGCCUUGCGUUGGAGCCACUCCUGUCCCGCCUUCCUCCUCCACAGUGCUGCUUCUCUUGGGAACCCCACUCUCCUUCGUGUCUCUCCCACCCCGGCCUCCACUCCCCCACCUGACGAUGGCAGCUAGACUGGAGUGAGGCUUCCAGGCUCUUCCUGGACCUGAGUCGGCCCCACAUGGGAACCUAGUACUCUCUGCUCUAGCCAGGAGUCUGUGCUCUUUUGGUGGGGAGCACUUCCGUCCUGCAGAGGACCACAGUGGGUGGCACCUCCUGAGAAGGCGAGGAGCGUGGUUGUUGCCAACUAAGCCCUCGAACCAAGGCAGCCUCCAGAGCCAGCCUGGGACUCCCAGUGAACUUACACUUGGAGCCCGUGCAGUACAGGCAAAACACGCAAGGGCAUCAGGCACUGGUGGCAUCGUAGAAGAGAUGUGGCAAAGUGCUGUACCCUUCCACCUCCUAGAGGUGGGCAGCUGGGCCCCACCUACUUGUGACUGAAGGGGCACACCACUGCCCUGCCUGCCCACUUAGCCGUCCACGGCACCAGCCCCCUAGAUGGGCAUUGGGCUGACACCUACCAUGCUGCUUUUUGGCACAGUUGUCUAUUCUGAGCCUUGAGAGAAAAAGUGC
RNAcentral lists this small RNA (2945 nucleotides) under Pan troglodytes (chimpanzee). RNAcentral's name for it is "retained intron". Lineage: Eukaryota; Metazoa; Chordata; Mammalia; Primates; Hominidae. The record is from RNAcentral.